RNAcentral lists this ribosomal RNA (379 nucleotides) under uncultured cyanobacterium. Its description in RNAcentral is "bacterial SSU rRNA". It matches the Rfam family "Bacterial small subunit ribosomal RNA", at positions 376 to 770 of the family's 1533-position model. The record is from RNAcentral. Lineage: Bacteria; Bacillati; Cyanobacteriota.
CGCAAGCCUGACGGAGCAACGCCGCGUGAGGGAGGAAGGCCUGUGGGUCGUAAACCUCUUUUCUCAAGGAAGAAGAUCUGACGGUACCAGAGGAAUCAGCAUCGGCUAACUCCGUGCCAGCAGCCGCGGUAAGACGGAGGAUGCAAGCAUUAUCCGGAAUGAUUGGGCGUAAAGCGUCCGCAGGUGGCGAUGCAAGUCUGCUGUCAAAACCCAGGGCUCAACUCUGGUCAGGCAGUGGAAACUACAAAGCUAGAGUCUGGUAGGGGCAAAGGGAAUUCCCGGUGUAGCGGUGAAAUGCGUAGAGAUCGGGAAGAACAUCGGUGGCGAAAGCGCUUUGCUAGACCAGAACUGACACUCAGGGACGAAAGCUAGGGGAGCG